Molecule: long non-coding RNA, 1027 nt
Filed under: Pan troglodytes (chimpanzee)
Lineage: Eukaryota; Metazoa; Chordata; Mammalia; Primates; Hominidae
Description: long non-coding RNA NONPTRT010565
Source: RNAcentral
CUGGUAUUCAACAUUGUACUAGAAAUUCUAGCCAGAGUAAUUAGGCAGGAAAAAGAAAUAAAAGGUGUCCAACGUGCAAAGGAUGUAAAACUCUCUAUUCACAAAUGACAUAAUCCUAUAUAUAAAAACAUUGCUGAAAGAAAUUAAAACCUAAUAAAUUGGGAAGACAUCCUGUGUUAUGAAUUGGAAGACAAUUUUCUUAAGAUGUCAACUUUUUUUUUCUUUUUUCUUUUUUUCUUUUUAUUUAUUUAUUUAUUUUGAGACAGAGUCUAGCUCUGUCACCCAGGCUGGAGCACAGUGGUCCAAUCUCAGCUUGCUGUAACUUCUGCCUCCCAGGUUCAAGAGACUCUCAUGCCUCAGCCUCCCGAGGAGCUGGGAUUACAGGCAUGUACCACCACACCCACACCCAGCUAAUUUUUGUAUUUCUAAUAGAGACGGGUGCCAUGUUGGCCAGGCUGGUCUUGAACUCCUGACCUCAAGUGAUCUGCCCAUUUUGGGCUCUCAAAGUGCUGGGAUUAUAGGCAUGAGCAACCAGGCCCAGUCUUUUUUUUUUUCUUAAGAUGUUAGUUUGGGCAAAUAGCCAACAAGCCCCUUGAAAAGAUGCUCAACAUCAUUAAUCAUUAUUCAAAUAUAAAUCAAAACCACAAUGAAGUACCACUUUCUUCCCACUAGUAUGCCUAAAAAAACAGGCUUUCAAACAAGUAUUUGUACAUACAUAUUAAUAGCAGCAUUAUUCACAAGUGAAAAGGUGAAAUUUAUUUUGGAGUAAUAAAAAUAUAUUGGAAUUAUACAGAGGUGAUGGUGGUAUACCAUUUUGAUUGUCUUCAAUGCCAUUGAGUUGCCAUUAAAAUGGUUAAUUUCAUGGUAUGUGAAUUUCACCUUCAUACAGUUUUUAAAAGAAUUAGAUGUUUCAUAAAAGGAGCCCAUGACCUGAAUAUCAUGCUGAGCAGCUGGCCAUAUGGAAAUUAAAAAGUUUACCAUCGAGGUUCCUGAGUUCUUUAAGUAACCACAGGACCUCAAAGACUCU